Diospyros lotus (date-plum) is the source of this 1378-nucleotide long non-coding RNA. RefSeq lists it as uncharacterized. The transcript has 7 exons. The record is from RefSeq and is a predicted model, not a curated record. NCBI's taxonomy places the organism in Eukaryota, Viridiplantae, Streptophyta, Magnoliopsida, Ericales, Ebenaceae.
CUGAUGGCACCUAAGAGGCAGACUCGUUGGCCAAUUGGAUCCAUGUCAUGUAGUACAGAUUCACACCACAAUGAUUCACAAUCAGUUCCAUCCCAUAAUCCAACCCCAAACCCAGUCCCGUCACAUCCCCAGCAUCCUGAAGAGGACUUGAUCCACUCACAAUCCAACCCCCAAGACUCACAUAGUCAGCAAGGUACAAGUUCCAUGUCAUCUACUGCCAAGAAAGGAAGAGGAAUAUUAAGACAAAUUUCAAAGUGGGGAAAGGAAAAGAUUCAUAUUGAAUUUGAUGCUGAAGGACAACCAAUUGGGGAGAUGGCAACUAAGUUGGAAACCCAACUAGGUGUGAUGGUAGGGAGUAUUGCUCCUUUUACAUUUACUGAUUAGAGAUCACCAGGGAUGAAACCAUAUAAGGAGCGCAUCUGGCAAGAGGUCUUGCCAUGAGACAGAUGCGGCUCGUUUAUCAAAAAUACCGCCUCGGGUGGACCUAGAACAUUGGAAGGUUCUUGUAAAGUAUUGGAGAUGUGAGCAAACACAGGAACGUAGUGCGACAAAUCGUGCCAAUCGAAAUAAGCAAAAGAUGGGUCACACAAGCGGUAGGCGAUCACAUCCUCAGGUUAGACACCAGAUGACUAUUGAAAAUGGAGAUGACCCAGAUAGAAUCAAGCUUUUUAAAAAGAUACACACCAAAAAGAGCGGAGAAAUAGUAGACUCUACAUCUUCAUAUAUAAUCGUAUGUAUUUCUAAAAUUUGAAAGUUGUAGAUAUAUUUUAUUUCUUUUACUUGUCGAUUUAUGUAACUAAUUUGUGAAAUGUUUCUUGAGGAAUAAAUGGAUGAAAGGUUGUCACAAAUACCUGCUGAUGAACAAACCCCAGAUUCGCUAGAGGAUGUCUUUACUCAAAUAUUAGGCAAAGAUGGGCAUGGCAGGGUAAGGAUGGGAGGACUUGGAACAUGCCCAACUAAGGUUAGACAAAGACAACAAUAUCAGGUGCCCCAAGAGUAGUAUGACCAAAUGCGUGUGCAAAUUACUGCCGAGCUAGAAGAAAAAUUUCAAGUUCAAAUCCAAAGUCAAGUUCAAAUGCAAGUUCGUGCAAUACUUGAGGCAAUGAGACAUGCACCACCGACUCCAAGCAAUACACCACAACCGAGACAGCCAUCCUCAUAUGCUAGUGCUUCUGCUGCACAUACAAGCAAACCAUCACCUGAAGCUGAAUGCGCUGGAUUAUCAACACCAGAAUGUGGUCAUCAUUUAGAGAUCGAAAAAAUAUGAUAUGCAAUUUUGGUUGGAGCAGCAUGGUGGUGUAAUCAAGGGUUAUCUGAGUUUAGGGUUGAUUUGUAUGUGCAAAAAUGUAUUGUGUAAUGAGAUGGGACAAGAUUGAUC